GACAGAGGGGGCAAGCGUUUUCCGGAGUUACUGGGCGUAAAGGGCGCGGAGGCGGUCUGCGGCGUCGGCGCUGAAAGCGCCCCGCUUAACGGGGCGAGGCGUGCCGAUACGCGCAGACUUGAGGCGAGCAGAGGGUGGUGGAAUUACGGGUGGAGCGGUGAAAUGCGUAGAGAUCCGGAGGAACGCCAGUGGGGAAGCCGGCCACCUGGGCUCGUCCUGACGCUGCGGCGCGACCGCGUGGGGAGCAAACCGG
Molecule: ribosomal RNA, 253 nt
Filed under: uncultured bacterium
Lineage: Bacteria
Description: partial 16S ribosomal RNA
Rfam family: Bacterial small subunit ribosomal RNA
Source: RNAcentral